GAUGAACGCUGGCGGCGUGCUUAACACAUGCAAGUCGAACGGUGAAGCCAAGCUUGCUUGGUGGAUCAGUGGCGAACGGGUGAGUAACACGUGAGCACCCUGCCCUGGACUCUGGGAUAAGCGCUGGAAACGGUGUCUAAUACUGGAUAUGAGACGUGAUCGCAUGGUCGUGUUUGGAAAGAUUUUUCGGUCUGGGAUGGGCUCGCGGCCUAUCAACUUGUUGGUGAGGUAAUGGCUCACCAAGGCGUCGACGGGUAGCCGGCCUGAGAGGGUGACCGGCCACACUGGGGCUGAGACACGGCCCAGACUCCUACGGGAGGCAGCAGUGGGGAAUAUUGCACAAUGGGCGAAAGCCUGAUGCAGCAACGCCGCGUGAGGGAUGACGGCCUUCGGGUUGUAAACCUCUUUUAGCAGGGAAGAAGCGAAAGUGACGGUACCUGCAGAAAAAGCGCCGGCUAACUACGUGCCAGCCGCCGCCGUAA
This 482-nucleotide ribosomal RNA is filed under the name uncultured bacterium. RNAcentral describes it as "partial 16S ribosomal RNA". It matches the Rfam family "Bacterial small subunit ribosomal RNA", at positions 28 to 523 of the family's 1533-position model. The record is from RNAcentral.